Non-coding RNA from Xyrichtys novacula (pearly razorfish), 15553 nucleotides. The record is from the annotation of a GenBank genome assembly. NCBI's taxonomy places the organism in Eukaryota, Metazoa, Chordata, Actinopteri, Labriformes, Labridae.
GUGCUGUAGACAAGGCCUUACAGAGUCUAAACGGACACCUGGAUUUAUUUCUACGUUUCCUCUUGGGUCUUUCUCUGCAAACCAAUCAGAAUCUCCUGAGAGGUCUGCUGGCACACACAGGAAGUAGCUCACAGACCAAUCAGAAAACAGUCCAGUACAUCAAGAUGAAGAUCAGUGAGGAUCUGUCUGCAGAGAAAAGCAUCAAUCUGUUCCACUGUCUGAAUGAACUGAACGAUAGUUCUCUAGUGGAGGAGAUCCAACAGUCCCUGAGAUCAGGACGUCUCUCCACAAAAGAACUGUCUCCGGCUCAGUGGUCAGCUCUGGUCUUCAUCUUACUGUCAUCAGAAAAAGAUCUGGACAUGUUUGACCUGAAGAAAUACUCUGCUUCAGAGGAGGGUCUUCUGAGGAUGCUACCAGUGGUCAAAGCCUCUAACAAAGUUCUGUGAGUGGACACAUGAGAGAUUCAAACAUUAUUGCUCAUGAGAGAUGAAACAUUGUGUUUGUGCUGAUCACUGAUUCUUCUUCAGGUUGACUGGGUGUGACCUGUCAAAGAGAGGCUGUGAGGCUCUGUCCUCAGUCCUCAGCUCCCAGUCUUCCAGUCUGAGAGAGCUGGACCUGAGUAACAAUGACCUGCAGGAUUCAGGAAUGAAGCUGCUGUCUGCUGGAUUGAAGAGUCUUCACUGUAAACUGUAAACUCUCAGGUGGGGGUUUCUUCUGAUCUAUAACUGUUUGAAUAAAACUUUUGAAAACUUGUACACUUUUCCUUGUUUCAUAUGUUUUUCUGACUUCAGGUUAUCAGGCUGUCUGAUCACAGAAGAAGGUUGUGCUUCUCUGGCCUCAGCUCUGAGCUCCAACCCCUCACACCUGAGAGAGCUGGACCUGAGCUACAAUCAUCCAGGAGACUCAGGUGUAAAACUACUUUCUGCUGGACUGAAGGAUCCUCUAUGGAGACUGGAUACACUGAGGUAUAACCAGACAGUUACUGAGUCACAGACAACUACAAAUAUAAAGGGUUGCACGAAGCAAUCUAACAAUUAUUUUUUCGACAAAUCUUCCCGUUAAUUUAUCAAUUAUUCUAACAAUAAUUUUAUUACCCGAUCAAUAUAACAAUGAAUUUAACCAAAAUAAAAAUUGAUAACUUGUCUAAGUAGUAUUCACUUCAAUGAUUUAUUGAAUCAUCUCAAACAAAAUAAACAAAAUAAUUAAUUGAAUUAAUUGACCCCGACAGACCAAAGGGGCGCAGGGACAGCGCCCCCAGCAGCAGCCCAGACACAACUCCCAGUGUGGAGGACCCCCUAAGGAAACUCCGGAGUUAAAGCUGAAAACUAAAAGAAUAAGAUAGGAUAAAAACCCUGAAAAAAAAGUUAAUACAGGGAACAGUUUAAAAGGACAUAAGACUCAUAAGAUAAUAAAUAAAAUGUAACCAAUGAUAAGUAAAACAAAUAAAAUUAUAUAAGGUUAACAUCUUAAAAGAUACACGCAACAACAUAAAAUAUGAUAGAACCACAUAAGAAAAAAUUAAAAUACUAGUUAAAAGCCUGAUUUAAAAGGUAGGUCUUCAACCUUCCCUUAAAAAUAUUAACAGUCCUGAGUCCUGAGACUAGAGAGACAUAGUAGAAGGUUUUAAUGACUUCUUUAUUAACGUCAGCGCUUCCUUGGCUUCUAGCAUGAAAGACUCAGAUAUAAAUCCUGCACGUUUCAUUAACGGCACAUUUUCAACACUCUCUGGUUUUGAUCCUCCCAGUUUAGAAGAGGUCCAUGACAUUGUUAGGAAUUUAUUUAAAAGCAGUCUUGUCAAAGAAACUAUAGAUUACAUCAUUCACCCCCUGACCCACAUUCUCUCUUUAUCCCUUCUGUCUGGUAUUGUCCCUCGAGAUUUUAAAAUUGCCAAAGUUAUACCGAUAUUUAAAUCAGGUAAUACAAAAGAAUUUGGUAACAAUCGCCCAAUAUUUAUACUACCCUGUUUGUCAAAGAUCUCUGAAAAAUUAGUCUAUAUGAGAAUCUCCAACCACUUGACUGUUAAUAAUAUUUUGUAUAAUCAUCAAUAAAGGUUCUGCAAGAAAUACUCAACUUAGCAUGCAUUGCUGCAACUUGCUAGUACCAUUUCUUCUGCUUUAAAUGGGAAAAAAAUUGCCCUCUGUGUCUUUCUUGAUUUGAGCAAAGCUUUUGAGAUUGUCGAUCAUAAAAUCCUCAUCUCAAAGCUUUAUAGAUAUGGAAUCCAGAAUGUUGCCCUUAACUGGCUGAUCAGUUAUCUAGACGAUAGAGAGCAGUUUGUUCACCUAAAUGGUGCUUCAUCCACUAAAUCCAGUAUUCUCUUUGGGGUCCCCCAGGGAUCAACCCUGGGCCCUUUAUUAUUCUUGAUUUAUAUCAAUGACUUGCCUACGUCUUGUGAUAGCCUUCUCCCCUUGUUAUUUGUGGAUGACACCAGUUUCAUAGAUGUUCAUGCUGACUUCGAGACUCUCAUUGCUCGUGUUAAUGAUGAAUUGUCUUCUGUGGCUAACUGGUUUCUGACUAAUAAGCAAUCUCUUAAAAUAAAAAAUGUAACUUCAAGAUCUUCUGCAACAAAAACAAAUCUUAUGCAAAAGAAGAAGCCAAAAUAUCAAUUAAUGGUACUAAAAUCUACACCACUUUUUUGGGUGUUGUCCUUGAUGAGGGUCUUAAGUAGAACAAUCAUAUCAGUCAAGUUUGCGAAAGGUCAAUGAAAAGCCUAGGUAUAAUUAAUAAGGUAUGUCCCUUGAUCAAUCCCUCUGCUCACUUGUCUUUGUAUUAUAGCUUUUUAUUUCCUUAUAUGAUGUAUUGUAGAUUGUAUGGUGUGCAACAUAUCCAACUUACCUCAAGAAAAUAUUAUUUAUCCAGAAAAGAUUCUUAAGAAUGAUAUCUCGAUCCAGCAGACAUGAACCUUCUGCACCUCUCUUUACUAAAUACUCAGGGCUCUAUUUUCGUUCGCGCCGGUGAGGCGGCGGAGGGCGGCGAGCCCCGCGCAGUUGUAUUUUCGUCUGGCGGAGCCCGGUGUAAGGCGAGUUUGGUAUUUUCGUGGACUGAGUCGCACGGAGGCGAGCCGAGAUCCGCCAAGCUGGGCGUGGUGGCGUGGCAGGGGGAGGUGUUGACAGAAUCAGCUGGCGCAGUGACAUUUUCGUGCUCGCCACUGGCGUGUAACGUGCGCUGAAAGCUCGCCGAUUCAAACCUGGUCAGCUUUCAGCGCAAGGCGGAACGCAGCUGGUCCAGUAGUAUUUUGGUAGACCGGCGGCGUAUCGACAUACGUCACUGAUGCCUCACCGGCAGGUUUCCACAGUGUCAGGCAGAUUUCAGUGCAAUAAAUAAUGAUCAACAACUAUUAAUCUGAGUCAGCACAUACAUUUAGAUCUAUAUCGAUAUAUUCUGAUCUAUAUAUGAUCUGAUGAGCGCGUUUGGCACGCGUUUGGACACACAACCUGACCGAAUCAAUACAGCUGAAACUGCAUCAAAUUAAAUUAAAUAUCUAGUAAAUAAACACACAUGAUGAAGUUAACAAGAUAUGUAAUGUGUCUCCCUCCUUUUCUUUCUUCCUCUUAUUUCUCGCACAGCUCGACCUGGACACGUCUCCGUGUCCUCUGUCCGUCUUCCUGCUGCUGCUGCGGCUGAACAGAUGAUUUGUUUCAGUGCUCAGAUGCGUUAUCUACUUUAAGCCGACAUACGGAUAUUAUAAUAUUCAGUUUUGUGAGCCAAAUUUAUUUUAUAUGCCAACAUCUAUGAAAGAAAGAGCCAGGCCACGGAGCGCGAUGCGUCAUUUACGCACAGAUGGUUCCGAUUUUAAUGCCUUUUUGGAGUUUUUGUUGUGAUCUGUGCGCUCAACCCACCUUUGUCACGUGAGGUUUGAAUAUAUGCAACUUUAUGUGAGUGUCUUUAUUUGUGGAAAAGGGUGUUUGUCUUACCAGUGGGUCCAACAUUACGCACACCAAAUCCAUCUGUGCUCAGAUGAGAGAGUGUGGAGGACACUUGUUGAGCAGCUGCCCUCUGUCGCCAUCGUGUGGCAUAACUGUCUUCAGACAUCUCUUGAUCUCUUUGACUACUUCAUGAAAAUAGUAAUACGCCUCGCCUGUGGCGGAUUUAAAGGCGAGGAGAGGAGCUAAUGUGAUUGGUGAAAACAGGUCUCGGCUGUGUUAAACCCCCUCUCCUCCCCGUCAAUGAUUUAUGCUGCCGGGAGGAGCUGAGUUAGGGAGGGGGGAUACUUACGCCGGGCUGCGCGGCUCACCAAAAUACCAAAAUGUGCUUGGGAACGCCUUGUCAGCGCGGCGGAUCUGAUUGACUCUGCGCUUGCGGCACGUCUCCGGCCAGGCACCAAAAUAGAGCCCUCAGUCUUACCGAUUGACAAACUCAAUGUCUUUCACUCUUGCUUGUUUGUCCAUAAGUUCAUCAAUAGGAAACAAGCCCUUCCUGACUCCUUCCAAAACUUUCCAAAUGGCUUUCUUCAGUUACCUUUCUGUUAAACUUCUUGUCAGCAGUUUAAUAUCACAUUUAGAGGACCGAAACUAUGGAAUGAAUUGGAUGUAUCUCUAAAAUCAAUAUUAUCCUUCAAAUCCUUUAAAUUAUCAUUGAAAUCUCAUCUAAUCAUGUCUUAAACACGUCAUUAUCUGUCACGUCCAUGUUUCUUCUCUUUUUAUGUAUACUUGUAUUUUCUCUAUCUCUGGUUGGGCUGGUUGAUGUUUAGUCUAUGUUCUAUUUAUGCCAAUUUUGUACAUGUUUUGUCCUUUCCCUACUCAUUGUAUAUUUAUAGCCUGUCUAUGUCCUAAUUACUUUGUUGUUUGCACCCUAUGCCUUCACUGCCCUGAUGGGAGUGGGACUCUGUAUAAGCCUAUUGGCUUCAUUCCCUCCUUGCACUGUUUUUAAUCUGUGCUAAUUAAACAAAUAGAAAUAGAAAUAGAGUUGAUCUGUGGAGAUGCUUUUUUAGACAAUUCAGGCACACCUGAACAAAAGGGUGAGCAGAAAACCUUUUUACAUUGUUAUGUUUCUCACUUACAUUAACAGCAAUAAAUAAUUAGCUGAACCACAAGAUACAGUUUCAGGACUUUACUGUUCAAGUGCAAAUUCAGUUAACAGGUAUCAAUGUGCUGACACAUCACUCAACCAAACAGGUACACUGACAACUGUGCUAGCCAACAAAAUGUAGUGCCUUCCCAAAGUGUACAAAUACUGUGUUAUUUCCUCAAAUACAUAACAAUUCAUCCCUUUCAGCUUUGAUGUACUCUAACCCAACACCAACAAUUACAAUACGUUUUUUUUUUUUUUUUUUUGCUAACUAUGACUUAAAUCAAAAUAAGGCACCAUUACCAUUAUGAUAGGUGGUAUAAAAUUCAAACAUAAACCAUUUUCUAAACCAACACUUUUCCUUUUAAGUAAACAUCAGUUCACUUGUCUCUGCUGGAGUUGCCUAUAAAUCAAGCCUCUGAGGCGGUCUUUGGUUUCUUUCUGGGUUCUGGUGUGCAGAUGAUCCAUGCUCAGUUAUGCUUUGAUGAGUAGAGUCCACAGUUUCUGGAGCCUGAGUGUCACUGGUGUCUGUGAUAGUAUCUCACCAGACUGCCAUUUCUUGGUAGGAGUGCGAUAGUCUCUGGCAAGGACUCUCUGUCCAAUGUCAAAGGCUCUCAGCUUCCUCUGUACCUGACUGGGAGAACACUGUUUCUUCUGAACAUGUUUGCGAAUGUCCAGUUUAAGUAAAUCCAAGUGUGACCUCAGACUCCUUCCCAUAAACAGCAUCGCAGGUGUCUGUCCUGUUGUGCCUGUAUGCCAGAAGGAAAUUAGCUACCUUCUGUUGUAACGACACUCCCUCCUUCCUGCUUGCUUUCAUGGACUAUUUGAAUGUUUGAACAAAGCGUUCUGCUAGUCCAUUAGUAGCAGGGUGAUGUGGCGUCGUUGUGAUGUGUUUUAUGCCAUUGCUCUUGAGAAAACACUGAAACUUGUCCCCUGUGAAUUGACUGCUGAUCUCGUCGAGUAGAGUACUCUGGGAACUGGGUGUCUCCAUGUAAUGGCCAUCCGUGCACUGUCAAGUCAUAGGCCAGGACAGGGUCAUUUCUUGUCUCUUUUUGGACCUGUGCGCUGGUGACAGGAAGAGGUUCCAUCUGUGACAUGUGAAGCACUACAGCUGGGUCAAUGGCUUUUUCAGAUUUUGCUUGUGGAAGGCGAGAUAACCCAUCUGCAUUUUCAUGCAGCUUUGUACCUUUAUAUUUUAUCAUGUAUGUGUGUGCUACUAGAAACAGAGCCCACCGCUGUAGGCGUGCAGCUGCCAUGGCCGGAACACCUUUCUGGGGACUAAAGAUGUAUACCAGGGGCUGAUGAUCAGUUAUCAGUAUAAAGUGUCUUCCAUAGAGGUACUGGUUAAACUUUUUCAUACACCACACCACAUGCAUUUAAAGGGGGUCUUGGUUUUCCUAGACGACCUGAUCGUCUUUUCAAAGACCUUGGAGGAGCAUGAAGAUGACUCAUGGAGGUUCUUGGAUGUCUCAAGGAAUUUGGUCUAAACCUGUCACCUGAUAAGUGUUCCUUCUUCCGGACAUCAGUCUGGUACCUUAGACAUGUUGUGUCCAGGAACAGGGUUGAGACUGACCCAGAGAAAAUCACUUCUCUUAAAACUUGGCCAGUCCCCAAGAACAUGCAAGAACUGAGAUCAUUCUUGGGAUUUGCAGGGUACUACAUAAGGUUCGUGCAGGGAUACAGCACAGCCUGACUUCUGGGUACCCACCUCCACACAAGAAAUGCAACUUGAGACCAUCAGCUGAUCAGCCUUACCAUGACCCAAAGGAAGCCUUUGGAGGUUGUUGGACACCUGCUUUUCAGCAAGCAUUCGAGCAGGUCAUUGAAGCACUUACCACUGCUCCUGUAUUGGGCUUUGCCGAUCCUCAAAAGCCGUAUGUGCUACACACUGAUGCCAGCACCAGUGGAACAAGAAGGUCAGCUCUGAGUCAUAGCUCAUGCGAGCAGGGAGCCAUCACGGAGUGGUCAGUCGCUGAAAAAUUCUGUGACUACCUUUAUGGCAAUCACUUCACCAUGGUUACUGACAGUAACCCAUUGACGUACAUUUUAACCACUGUGAAACUCUAUGCAAAGAGUUAUAGACGGCUUGCAGCAUUGUCUACCUUUUCAUUCAACCUUGUGUACAGACCGGGAAAACAAAACUCAGAUGCCGACUGUCACGCAGACCCCAUGGUGAACUGUUGGACGAUUCCAAGUCGCAGAAGGAGAGGGAGCGAAUUUGUCAGUUCACUCGCGACCAUCUCUCUGACCCUGGCAAUAUCAAUGCUGUUGACCGAGCUGUUGUGCAAGCUACUUGUGAGGAACAGUUUGUCUUCAGUGACAACCUUGAUGCCCACAGUGGUGCCACUUUGGCUGAAAACCCACCUCCACGAGAGCUGUACCUGAUAGCUAUGGGAAAGAGGAUCAGCUUGGUGGGUUGCCAUUCAUCCCUUACUUAACUGAGGUCGAGUUAGCAAACAAACAAAGGGCAGAUCAGUGUUUGAGACAUGUCAUUCACCAACUUGAAUGCGGGGAGAAGCCACCUCUCACACUACAGAGUGAACUUCCAGAGCUCCCACUCUUGUUGAGAGACCUACAGCAUCUUGAGCACCGCAAUUAUGUGCUUUACUGAAGACAGCAAGUUGGCUCUCAAACUUCUUAUCAGCUGGUUUUGCCAGCUGAGCUCAGUGAUAUGGUCUUGAUGAGUUUACAUGAUCACAUGGGGCACAUGGGUGCAGAUCAUACCUUAGAUCUUGUCAGAACAAGGUUCUUUUGGCCUAAAAUGGCUGUAGAUGUUGGAAACAAGGUGAAAACUCAUGGCACAUACAUAAGGUGAGGACUCCAUACCACCCUCGUGGUAACCAUGUCGAACGGUUCAACCACACACAGGAUUAUGGAGGCGGUGAACAGCGCUGCUGCGGAAUAGUGGACAGUGGCUGAAGUUUGAAUAAAUCAUUGGUCAAUAAGUUGAUCAUGAUGAUAAAUCAAUAUCUCAUACAUGCCUCAUAUUUGUUUAUUGCCAUGACAUAUAGUACGUUGCUCCUAUUAUUGAAAGUAUUUAGUUUUAAUUUGUUGCGUUUUUGUAAUGUAGAGCAGACUGGAGAGUCUGAACAAAAAUAAUUGUUAACCUCACCCAACGGUGUGUUGCUACCCCUGAGGCACAUUUUUAUUUCUAAUGGAUUUUUAUCACUGAUUAAAUAGCAAGAGCACUUUCUAAACUUAUACUUUACAUGUCAGAAUCAAUCGAUAAGGUCCUGUCCCCUCUGUACAGCACCUUUGUGGAGUCUUUCCGCGUUAUUAUUCUCCGGGCAUCGGGUCCUCACGUUGCAUCGGCACAGCCAACGGCACUCCAUUCGCCAGUACAACAUUGUGCAAAACUGAACUGGCCCAAAUGAUGUCCCACACUCUUUCAGGAGUGUACAACAAAGUCCUAGCUGCUGGGCCAAGACACAGCUACCUGCCUUUUAGGAGUCAUUUGAGACAGAUAUUUGCUGCAUCGCAGAUCUACACUGACUCAAACUUGCGUACACGAUGUCAGACCUGUCGUGAGAUUUGGUCGUAGCGUACGCUCAUGUGCAGAUUGAUAAAUGCCGAUCCUCAUGUCAAAAUUGUCCUACGCAAGGUGUACGCAAGUUUUCUGCCGUACGCAAGCUUGAUAAAUGAGGGCCAAGGAAACAGCCCUGGAUCAUGACACUCUCUUUCCACUGAGAUUAAUUUAUUUUGUGGGUUUGUUUUCUCCAAUUAGAUAUUUGUCAUUCAGAUGAUCAAAUAUACCCUAUCUUGUCUCAACAUUCAUCCAAUAUUUUUUUAGAAGAGAAAUGUUGAAAAAUAGCCCAAUCUAAAAUAUAAUGUAACUUAAAUUAUGAUGGUGAGUGUUGAAAGCCCAUUUGAGUUGUCAUUUUUUACAUUUUUAUCAAAUUAAUGACAACAGGAUUGAUGUUAUGGUAACAGGGCUGACAAGAGUAAAAGUAACUGGACACAAAGUAACUGGCUCUCCACUGGCAUAUCAAUCAAUCAAUCAAAAAAUAAUUAUUAGCUCAAUAAUGUUCACUUGAUGACCUAAAAAUGGGUAAAAACUGGGGUUAACUGUGCUGUAAAGAGAGAGAGAGAGAGCAGUGGGUCAUGAUGUUUCUGAUUAACCGCAAUGCAGGUGCAUACAGCACUCUGGGAGAGAGGUGAAUGAGAGGAGAGAUCUCAUCGUCCGGCUGCGUGAGGAGUGCUGUGCCCGAGAAAAUAUCCAGAAGUUAUUAAAAUAGAGAGAAAGUGUCGAAAUUCACCACGAGCUGACUCUACAGAGUCCCGGUGGAUGUUGCCAUCUCAGCAGUUUUUCAUUGAGGAUGAGAUUCAGUGGAACUUGAUGUUGAGGAAGACAUCUGUGCUGUUCUUGGAGUGGCUUCACCCAGCGAGGAGGCAGAGUCUGUCCAUUCUAUAUACAGUCUAUGGGUCAGACAGAGAUGCUCAAGCUAGUGGCAAGAAGAAAGGAGGAGGUCUGGCUUUAUUUGUCAACCAGAGAUGCUGUAACCCUUCACACAUAACUGUCAAGGAGAAGUUGUGUUGUCCAGAUAUUGAACUGUUGGCAGUUGGUCAUCGGCCAUAUUAUGUUUCAAGAGAAUUUAGUCAUAUCAUAACAGUAGUUGUUUACAUUCCACCCAAAUCAACAGAAGAAAUUCUGUGCGAUGUUUUGCCAAAAUAGUGUUGCCAGGCUACAGACUCAACACCCUAAGGCACUAAUAAUAAUAUCAGGAGACUUCAACCAUGUCACCCUCUCCUCUCACCUAACUGGAUUCACAUGGUUUGUGAAUUGUCCUACCAGAGAAAACAAAACCCUGGAUCUGCUGUAUGCCAACGUCAAAGAAGCCUACAGAGCCACUGCCUUACCACCACUGGGCAAGUCGGAUCACAACUUGGUCUAUCUGCAAACCUGUUACAGACCUUGUGUACUUGGCAGCCUGUGACCAAAGUCAAAAUCAGUAGAUGGACACCUCAAGCCAGAGAAGCUCUAAGAGACUGUUUUAAAUCAACAGACUGGAAUGUGCUGCUGGAAACAGAUGAGGAUAGUAUGAACAUUGAUAAACAGGUUGACUGCUUUACUGAAUAUGUCAACUUCUGUAGAGACACAGUUAUACCCACAGAAACUGUUCACUGUUCCCCAACAACAAACCCUGGAUCACAAGAGACAUAAAAGCAAUCCUUAACCAGAAAAAGGAAAGCUUUUAAAGAUGGUGACAAAGAAUGACUCAAACAAGUGCAACAAGAGUUGAAGAGGAGACUGAAGAUGGCAAAGCUGUAGUACAAAAAGAAGAUAGAAAAGAAUCUACAACACAGCAACAUCCGUGAAGUGUGGAGAGGAAUCAGUACCAUCUCUGUACACAGCAAUAGAAAGAAAAGACAACCAGUGGUGGGUGAUGUGGAAAGAGCUGAUGAACUCAACCUGUUCUUCAACAGAUUUGACACUGCUGUCACACCCACUCCCACUGCUACUCCACCUCCCUCUCCGCAACAAAUCUCCACUACAACUUCUCCCGUUCCUCCUCCAUCUUGUUCAAAUGUCUCAACCACUUCAACUGACUCCUUCCGAGAACAUCAGUCCUUGUCUGUCAUCGAAACAGGGGUGUGGAUGGAGCUUGGAAGACUUUGUCCUGGGAAGGCAGCUGGCCCAGAUGGUGUGUGUCCAAGGCUGCAUCAAGACUGUGCUGCAGAACUGUGUCAACCUCUCCACAGGAUCUUCUACCUGAGUCUACAGCUGGGGCGGGUACCUGCUCUGUGGAAAACAUCCUGCAUUGUGCCAGUACCAAAAACAAAAUGUCCUGCUGAACUCAAUGACUACAGACAAGUGGCCCUCAUCAUGAAAACCCUUCUGAGGUCUGAGUUCAAAGACAAACUGGAUUCCCUGAAGUUUGCAUACAAAGAACACAUUGGAGUGGAUGACGCUGUCCUCUACACGCUUCACCGUGCCCUGUCUCAUCUGGAGGAACCUGGGGUUUAUGUGAGGAUCAUGUUCUUCGACUUUUCAAGUGCACUCAACACCAUCCAACCCACCAUACUCAAAGACAAGCUCACAGAGAUGGUAGUGGAUCCUUCCUGUGUUUCCUGGAUCACAGAUUAUCUGACAGGAAGGCCACAGUUUGUCAGGCUGGGGAACUGUGUUUCUGGGACAUUAAUGAGCAGCACAGGGGCUCCACAAGGGACAGUCCUGGCUCCAAGCCUGUUCACACUGUAUACAUCAGACUUCAAAUACAGCACUGAGUCCUGCCACAUUCAGAAAUACUCAGAUGACACUGCUAUCGUGGCAUGUAUCAGAAAUGGACAAGAAGCUGAAUACAGAGAUCUGAUAAGAGUCUUCAAUGACUGGAGUCACAAAAACUGCCUCCUCCUCAACACCUCAAAGACAAAGGAGAUGGUCAUAGACUUCCGUAGAUCCAAACCCCCUCUUCAGCCACUGAACACUAGCCUGGCUGGGCCAUCCAGUUGCGUAACCAAUCACCGUAACCAAACAUCUGAUGUCAUCACAGUAUGCAACUGUGUUCCCUGCUGGGCUCUCAAGCAUCAAGUAAAGGUUUGGUUAUAUUUAACGUGUGCGAGCAAACAAUGUCUUUUAUGUCUUCUUCUGCGGAUGUAAAGGAUUUCUGCCAACUUUGCAAAGUCCACUGCAGAAUUAACGGCAUUCUGAAAGCACAGCGCUUUGAAAAGUCCCGCAGCACGUGUUAGACGUCACCAUCUACACAUGGACCAAUCAGGGGCUGCCUUUCCCUGUUGUCCGGGGAACAGUGGAAACACAGUCACUGAUUGGCCCGGUUAUUUUCUGAUUUCUAAUACACACUCCCAAUUGGCCGAAGUCCAGACUGUUGUGGGAAGUAACGGCAAGUGAUUCACGCAACUGGAUGUCCCAGCCAGGCUAAGUGAACACCUGUGGAGUGGACAUCGAAGUGGUGACAUCAUAUCAAUACAUCUGGUGUACAUCUGGAUAAUAAGUUGGACUGGUCUAAGAAUAUAGACUUCAUCUACAGAAAGGGGCAGAGCUGCCUCUCCUGCCUGAGAAGACUCCGAUCAAUAGACAUCUGUAGUAAGACGCUGCAAAUGUUUUAUCAGUCUGUGGUGGAAAGUGUUCUGUUCUACGCUGCAGUCUGCAGGGAAGGAAGCAUCAAACACAAAGAUGCAAGAUGUCUGAACAAACUGGUGAGAAAGGCUGACUCUGUGGUAGGACUCAAGCUGGACUCACUGGAGGAUGUGGUGGAGAGAUGCACACAGAGGAAGGUGGAGACUAUUCUAAAGAACAUGGAUCACCCACCUCACAACACCUUAAUGGACCAAAGGGCCAAUGGUGUUGGACAGUUCCUCUCUCUUCGCUGUGAGAUAUUAAAACAUGUUUAGGGUGUUGAUAAUGCUGAUGCUAAUGUUGGGACAAAAAUUAAAAGAGGACUUAGAUGCCAGCUUGCUGCCGCAGUUGCCACUAUCUUCAGCUAGCGCUUCCGCUUCAAGUGCUCCAGCAUCAAGUGCUCCAGCAUAGCACUUGCAUAUACCACAACAUUAUGAGGUCUGUGACUGAAGUAUUCUCACACUUUGAUAAGCAUUGGUGGGGUCUUUUAGUUGGUUCUUGUUCAUUGUCCAUGCCUCCACCAGUAACUGUUGUAGUCAUGGCAUAUGUAAUUAUCAUGCUUCAUGUCAACAUUUGUUUUUGCUUCAACAUAAUUGCGUUGUCUGUUAUGUCAACUAUGACGAAUUGCCGCAGCCCUUUCUUUGGUCAGGCUAUGAUGCCAGCAGGGUAUCUGAUCACUGGCAGAGCGUAGUUGUUGAUGGCUUGGAUCUUGCUCCAGCUGACAUACACUUUGCUGUAAUGCAUGUUGAGGUGAACAUUAAUUAAAAAAACCCUCAAACAGUUCAUGAGAAAUUACUUUGGAUCAGACUGAUGUGUGUCUGUUAUUCUGUUUCCUCCUCCACACAAUUUGUCUGCAACACUGGGCACCUGGAUAAGCAUCUUCUCUUGGAAAUCUUUUGAAUAUGAAGAACCAUCUUAACUGCUCUUAAUGCAGGACCACAGGGGUCGCAGAAAUUGAAAUAAAGCAUUUUUAUUAAGAAAAAAAAAAGUUAUCGAACUGUUAAAAUAGGAAUUCAUAAACUGGUGUUUAAAUUCAUGAGUUCAUCCAUGAACAAAUAGAGGAAAUAUAACAAGAUUCUACAAAUAAAUCUUUAGAACUGUACAAAAGUCUAUCAUUUAAAAAUACAUGACUGCAUUAUUUAUUUAAAUAGAUUAAAACACAGUUUGAACACACAGUUUUUAAAAAGAAAAAUAAAGAAGUGAAUUGUCAAACUAAAGUAAGAAUACAGUUUUUAAUCAGCCAUUUAAAGGAUGUUUCCCUUUUUUCAUUUCCAUUUCCUGUUAGCUAAGCGAUUAGCAACGUCUUUUAUUUUUCCUUCCCUCUCAUUUUGGGCCUUGACCUGGUAAAACCAGGUAAAACAAUGCUAAUAAGUUAUGAAACAAGCUCUCUGAUUGGUUAUAACCUGGCCUACUACAUGCAGAUGUAUGAGGGGAGGUGAAGAUGAUGGAAGGUGAGGAAGAAUAGAUCUUAUUCAGUGUUCAAGGUGGAAAGAGGUCCAAAUCUGGAUAUUCUGACUCUGUGGUAAUUUCACAUCUCCCUGAUUGAUGAACAGACACACAGACUAAAUACAGAGAUGAUCCGGAGAGAGAUGGGCUCAUAUCUGAAGUUCAAAACACAUUUAACAGUCCUUUAGCCCACAUCAGAACACAGAGAAGAUGCUUUAUUACACCUGAUGUUACAAGAUGAGGAUUCACAUCUAGUUUAAUGAUCAGAGCAGAACAAUAUUCAAAUCUCCUCCAGAUCCUCUAUUUCAUUCGUCCAUACAGACCAGGAUCAACCCUCCUGGCUGACAUGGGAAUGUCUUCUCUUCUUGAUUUUCUGCUCUCUUUGUUUGGUGAGCCAUCAAACAAACCCUCAGAGCUUCAGAGAAACACCUCCUUCAUACAUCCACCCUCAGUCAAGGCCUUUCCAUGUUUUGGAGUGCAGUGGGCAAUGGUAUGCUAAGCUUUGGUAGGGUGUGUGUGGUAGCUUGUUCUAAUACCUCCACACAGCAGCUUUGAUGGAUUCAGUCUGUCUGCCUUCUUGGAAGAUUCCUUAUGCUUGGUCUCAAAAUUUAGUUUAACAGCAGACACUCAGCAAACUUUCUGAAGACAUGAAGAGCAGACAGCACAGUCCUUCAGUGACACUAACACACUGGGACCCCUGACUCCCGCACAUAGUCUGCUCUGUAAAAAGAAAUGAUAGAUUGAACUGAAACUCAGCAUGAACAUCACUAAGGAAGUUAUAGAUGUUAAAAACAACUGUAACUUCCUUACAGUCUUCAUUUAGCUUCAUCAGCUGAGCUCCACUGCUUUACUGGCACAUCUACAUUUAGUGAGAGCAGCAGCAGACCUAUCUCAUGAUCGGGUAAGGUGAGGGGUUGUUUGAGGAAAUGCACUGACUUUGCUCCACUUUCUGUCCAUCCCAAACUGCAGGAAAUCCACCUGCUGUUCCAAGUGUGAUGCUUCUACUCCCUCUGCUCUAGCUGACACUGAAUGAUUCAAGAAGAGCCUCACACACUCACAUGAGUUCAUCUGAGAGCUUUCAUUUCAUCUUCAUUCAUAUUUAGAAGAGGAAAGCCCCAUACCUCAUCUCUCUAUGUACAGACAAGGUUUCAAGUCUGUUUAAAAAGAGCUUUUUAGACUGCAGUAUGGAGAGCUGCCCAAAAAGAAGAAAUGAAUGUCUUUUUCCAAAGAGUUCAAAUCAAGUCUCCAUGUUUUAGGAUAGACCAACAGCAAGCCUUUGCUGUUUGAAUUUUGUUGUUGUUCUUUUUCUGGGAGUUUCUGUUAGAAAGACUCAGGAAAAGUGACAGAGUGAUGGAGACUGUUGGCUCAGAUGAGUUUCAGCCUGUUUCUCUAACACGAAGACAAACUGAGGAACUCUGCUUCAUGUUGGACACUCAAUCAUUCUGACUGUGUUUCUUCCUCCAGGGUGGACCAUGGUGGAGAGCAGAGGUUAAAACCUGGUGUGAAGAAGUGUAAGUGUGGAGUCAGUUUGACUCCUGAUGACCAAACAACAGACUGUCAGCUAACAAAGAAGAAAGCCUUCAGGUGUGCCUGAUGAUAACCUGCUGUUGUGUUGUGUCUUUUUCUCUCUGUCAGAUUUCUGUGAACUCACAGUGGAUUCAAACACAGCACACAGACUCCUUAAACUGUCUGAAAACAACAGGAAGGUGACACGUGUGGAAGAGGAUCAGUCAUAUCCUGAUCAUCCAGACAGAUUUGACCUCUGGCCUCAGCUUCUGUGUAGAGAUGGUCUGACUGGCCGCUGUUACUGGGAGGUUGAGUUGAGAGAGGGGAUUAUAGCUCUGGAAGAGAGUAAAGCCAGGCCAGGCAAACACGGAAACACAGGAAGUCCAGCCAAAAUAAGACAAAAGGAGGCGGCGUCUCACCACAGUCACAUCAGUCUGAAUGUAUGUUGUCAAAGAGCAGGACUCCCUGUCAAACUGGCUCACUGAACUGGACUGAUCUCUGUCUCUAUGGGGAAAAAUCCAG